GGACCCGCACAAGCGGUGGAUGAUGUGGUUUAAUUCGAUGCAACGCGAAAAACCUUACCCACCUUUGACAUGUACGGAAUCCUUUAGAGAUAGAGGAGUGCUCGAAAGAGAGCCGUAACACAGGUGCUGCAUGGCUGUCGUCAGCUCGUGUCGUGAGAUGUUGGGUUAAGUCCCGCAACGAGCGCAACCCUUGCCAUUAGUUGCUACGAAAGGGCACUCUAAUGGGACUGCCGGUGACAAACCGGAGGAAGGUGGGGAUGACGUCAAGUCCUCAUGGCCCUUAUAGGUGGGGCUACACACGUCAUACAAUGGCUGGUACAGAGGGUUGCCAACCCGCGAGGGGGAGCCAAUCCCACAAAGCCAGUCGUAGUCCGGAUCGCAGUCUGCAACUCGACUGCGUGAAGUCGGAAUCGCUAGUAAUCGCGGAUCAGAAUGUCGCGGUGAAUACGUUCCCGGGUCUUGUACACACCGCCCGUCACACCAUGGGAGCGGGUUCUGCCAGAAGUAGUUAGCCUAACCGCAAGGAGGGCGAUUACCACGGCAGGGUUCGUGACUGGGGUGAAGUCGUAACAAGGUAGCCGUAUCGGAAGGUGCGGCU
RNAcentral lists this ribosomal RNA (598 nucleotides) under uncultured Comamonadaceae bacterium. RNAcentral describes it as "bacterial SSU rRNA". It matches the Rfam family "Bacterial small subunit ribosomal RNA", at positions 917 to 1519 of the family's 1533-position model. The record is from RNAcentral. Lineage: Bacteria; Pseudomonadati; Pseudomonadota; Betaproteobacteria; Burkholderiales; Comamonadaceae.